CCAUCUCACCCGCAUCGAUGUUUCUCUUACAGAAAAGACCCCGGCCGUGAAUGGGAGACCUAGGGCACAAAGACGGAAAAGAGAUCAGCCACGGAUUUUGCAAAUCUGGUUAACUGUGUGAACACAUGAAUAAAUGACUAAAACCUCCUGGUCUGUUAGUUCCCCAGGAAGGACAGACACUUGAAGAGAAAAAAAGAAUCUGGACCCACUUGAUUUGAGGGGUAUAUUCAUUGUUUUAACAAACGGCCAAGGAAAGAUUUCUUGCACUCUGUAACAUACUAGAAGUAGCAGUAUUUUAAUGCUCACUAUGUUAAGUUCCUUGUUCAACACAAGGAAGUACAGGAUCUCAGAACAUCAGGUUCCAUCAACAAUAGCGAGAAAAACCUCACUUACUGAAGGGGGGGGGGGUCAUUCCAGCAUUUGGUUCCCUUUGACUUUGGAAAAUGAUAAGUUUCAUAUAAUUCUUUCUACAAUUUUAGCCAUACCUGUAGACACCGACUGCCUCCUUAGAAGUCUUCUUUAAAUGCCGGAAACGCAUGGGCAUCGGCAGGUCCAUACUUGUUGCCCUCCUAAAGAGACAGGCAUAUUACUAAUGAGUUCUCUUCAGGAGAUAAUCAGUUUUGAGUCUUGGAUCAAAGGUUCCUAGAGAAUAUGACUGCACUGUUUUCUUUGCUCAGUGCCAAGCACAACAAGUGUCUUAUAAAAUUAGGCCUAUAAUUGGGGCGCCUGGGUGGCUCAGUAGCUUAAGCGGCCGACUUCGGCUCAGGUCACGAUCUCGCGGUCCGUGAGUCCGAGCCCCGCGUCGGGCUCUUUGCUGACAGCUCAGACCCUGGAGCCUGUUUCAGAUUCUCUGUCUCCCUCUCUGACCCUCCCCCGUUCAUGCUCUGUCUCUCUCUGUCUCAAAAAUAAAUGUUAAAAAAAAUAUUAAAAAAAAAAAUUAGGCCUAUAAUAUACAUAGUACUUGACCAUGGGGACUAUGGUGAUACGUCCAGAGCUGACAGGGUAUAUACACUUUGGUUAAAGAAAAUGAAAAAUGGCCUCUUAGCGUUGUCUGAAUUUCUCCUCUCCAACACAUUUCUCUCUGUGCCAGCCCGCUUACUGCUACCUUACUCUUGAUCUCAGCCAAAGGGCCAAGAAGCAAUGCUGCUACCUUGACACAAACUGUAUUUCAUACUCUUCUUAGAUGUUAUCUGGGAAACUGUGACACGAGCAAACCCACACAGUGCCCUGAACAGCCAGAGUAGAGGGGAGCAAAGAGUGUUCCUAACGACCCUUCAACUCCAGACUUACCGAGCGGACUUCAGCUGUACCUCCUCCUCCUCCUCAUCAUUAGGGUUGUAUUCGGGAGGCUGCCGAUGUUUAGAAGCCAGGAAGUUAAACAUGUCAAAUGCUGACUUCCUGGAGCCAAAAGAUGAAAACGUGUUGUAACAGAAAGGCUUUAACAGAAGCAGUGGACAGCUUUGAUGCUGGAAAUCUCAAAGGUCGCGUGGGAAAAUAAUGCCAUCAUACGUAAAAAUAUAGGGACCCGAACCUGCUUCCGAAAGAGAAUGGAACUUGCCUCAGGUGAACUUCGGCCCUGGCCGAGCCAUGAGGGUUCAGGGGGGGUUCGUUGGCCUCCUCCGGUUUGUGGAAACGGAAUUUGUAAUUCCUGCAGUGCUUGGCACCAGAGAGCUGCUCAAUCAGGAACACGACCGCAUCGUGAAGAAUCCCCAGCAUCCUCAAGCCGUUAACACCUGUCGGACAGAAGGCACCAGGGUAGUGAGGGCGCAGUCAACAGGAGACUGCCUGGUAUUAAAGAAAUGCUUGAGGGGCGCCUGGGUGGCUCAGUCAGUUGAGCGUCCGACUUUGACUCAGGACAGGAUCUCACAGUUCGUGGGUUCCAGCCCCGCGUCGGGCUCUGUGCUGACAGCUCGGAGCCUAGAGCCUGCUUCGGAUUCCGUGUCUCCCUCUCUCUCUGUCUCUCCCCUGCUCAUGCUCCCUCUCUCUCAAAAAUAAACAAACAUGUAAAAAAAUCAAAAGAAAAAUGCUUGAGCUAGAGAAGAGCUCUGCCAGAGGCUGCUCGGGGGUGAACUGCAUUAAAGACUAGCCAAGAAUUAGCAUUAACUAGCCAUUAGGAUGACACAGACUCAGAUCUACCAAUAUGGAAAAUGUUCACGAUUAAGUGAAAAAAAAAAACAAAACAAAACAAACACCACCAAACUGUUUUCUAUGCUCUUAUGUACACAGAUAGGUUGUAUGUGUUAUUUCACUUCGUGGUCUUAAUGCCCACAUGAGGCAGAGGUCACCAGCUGCAUUUUCAGGUCAGUAAAUCUAGGCUCAGAGAAUUUAAACACCACACCCGAGGUCACUGCUAGUAGGACGAGCUCUGAACCUUGGACUGGAGAGCUUCAACCGUGAUCCCAUUUUUGUUUAUAGGUUAAUGGGGUAACUGGGUUCUCUAACUUCACACUCACAUAGAUACUUCCCUAAAAUGUAAAAGAAUGGCUAGCAAUAAGCCCCUAGCACGGAACUCUCUUUUGUUGUUGUUAUAGUGAGCAUAUGGAGUAGUACGCUUGAGAGGUGCUUACUCACUUAGUCUCAUGACAUUAAUGAGCAUUUCUGAUUUUAGUUUACAAAAAUUACACUUACUAGUUCUUUAAUUUUUUUUUAACGUUUAUUUAUUUUUGAGACAGAGAGAGACAGAGCAUGAAUGGGGGGAGGGUCAGAGAGAGAGGGAGACAGAAUCAGCAGGCUCCAGGCUCUGAGCUGUCAGCACAGAGCCCGACGCGGGGCUCGAACUCACGGACCGCAAGAUCACGACCUGAGCCGAAGUCAGACGCUCAACCGACUGAGCCACCCAGGCGCCCCUACACUUACUAGUUUUUUAAUGUUUAUUUUUGACACAGAGAGAGAGAGGGAGAGAGAGGGAGAGAGAGAGAGAGAGAGAGAGAGAGAGAGAGAGAGAGAGAGAGAGAAUGAGUGGGGGAGGGGCAUAGAGAAUCCAAAGUGGGCUCUGUACUGACAGCAGAGACCUUGAUGCAGGGCUUGAACUCAAAGACUGUGAGAUCAUGACCUGAGCUGGUCAGACGCUUAACGGACGGAGCCAUCCAGGUGCCAUUAUAAAAAUAACAUUUAUAUAAGUUGUGGGCAUAGAUGGUGAAAGUCCUUCUGAACUGUCUCCUUGCAUUAAAGGGAUGGGGCAAUUCCACUACUUUGACACUGGAAAUAGCUAAUGUUGGGGACGCCUGGCUGGCCCAGUCAGUAGAGCAUGUGACUCUUGAUCUCGGGGUUGUUAAGUUUGAGCCCCACGUUGGGUGUGGAGAUUACUUAAAAGUAAAAUCUUAAAAAGAAAAAUCAUAUAUAUAUAUAUAUAUAUAUCAUAUAUAUCAUAUAUAUAUAUUUACUUUGAGAGACUGAGCACCUGACACCAGGCUUCAUCUUAGGACAUCAAGAUCACUACUUGAGCCAGUAUCAUAACCGGCUGAGCCACCCAGGAGCCCCAAAAUAGCCAAUGUUCUUUACAUUUUUAUAAAGUCAACAAUAUUCUUUCAUUGCAAUAUUGUUUUUGGUAUUAUUAACAGAUAUCAAGACAAGGGUGUCUGUUGUGCUAGGAUCACACGCACAAUUCCAACAGUCACACCCUUUGUGCUAUGAAGCAUAUUUAGAGAUGCAACCUCAGUGUAAUUUGGGGACUGAGUGUCAUGCCUGGGAGGCUAUCUGGGUUUAAAUGUUGACAAGGAUUACUUCUGGGGGAUGGGACCCUGACUACCUUUUACUUUGUUCUUGCGGUUGCUUUUUCAUAUUUUAAAAUUCAUCUAUGUCCCUGAUAAUUUUUUGAGAAGAGUGGAAAGUUACUAUUAGUUGCCUGAUUCUUAUUUCACUUAGAGAAUUUCUAAGGGAGAUCAUUUGGUUUCAAUGCAAGUAGAAGGUUCAGUCUUCAGUCACGUUCUUUGGACACAACUGUGUUCCAGUUAGAAUUCAACCUAAGUAUACAACUCAAGCCUCCAUUAGAAGAGCUUAUAAGCCAAUUAAGAUAAUGGCAAACAUCUUUUCUUUCCCCACACAACACUGAUUUUCCCCAAGAAAUUUUUUCCUAGGAAUUUUAGAUUGUUGUGGAUUCCUAGGCAGAAAAAGACACUGGAAAAACAUACUUAUUUCCAUAGAAAGUUCAUUUUUAUACUUAGACUGAGUGUUCAACUCUACUUUCACUGGAGGGCUUAAAGCGAGAUUAAAUACUGUGUCAGUAAUGGGGAGAACAAAGAUGAAUUUGAACAAAGAAACGGCCCCCAUUCUCAAGCUCUUGGAAGAGAGAGGCCAACAGGUACCCAAGUCACACACUGUGAAAGUAUCCAAAUAAAGGUACAGUAUAAAAUACUGCGGGAGCAAUCUCUUCUGUUGUGGACGAUUCAUUCACUCAUGCAACAAAUAUUUCCUGAGCACCUACUAUAUCCCACAUUUUCUUUCCAUCGUUCUGCUGUGCCAGACACAGCCUGGGAAUACAGAGGUGAACGAGACAGGCAAACACCUGUAUUUAUGGAGCUUUUAUUUCAUGGAAGAGACAGACAAUAAACACACCAAAGGUAUUCCCACUUUAGGGCUUUUUUCUGUGCUGUUUCUUCUGCAUUGAGGGCUUUUACUCUACUUGUCGCAUGACUCGCUCCUUCUUGUCAUCACUCAGGCCUCAGCUUUAUUUAAUGUCAUCUCUUCAAGAAACUCCUUUCCUGACCACUCUAUCUAGAGGAGGCUCCCUGCCACCAGCUACCCACCCUGUGCACUUGAUUUCAUUCUUCAGAGUACUUAUCUCUGCCACUAGAUAUAAAGUCGUGAGGCAAGGACCUCGUUGUGAAGGGGUCAAUGGAUUGGAAACCUUGGAGAGCAGGCCUGAGUCUGCUUCUACUCAGCAGUUAUAUCCUAAGUGUCCAACAUGACGCCAGGCACAUUCAAGGGUUCAGUAAUAUUUUUAAAUAACCAACAUUUAAGGGCCGAACACUUUAUUCUACAAUUAGUAGGCAACCAGAGAAGCUUCUGAGGUACUUCUGGGGACACUGAGGAUUUACCACCAGGAGGCGACGGGAGACUCAGGGACCAUUUAGAAGGCUUUCUGAGAUUACUGGUGAGAGAAUGACAAAGGCUAUUCCUGAGGAAAGAAGGAGACAGAAGAAGGGAACAUGACUCAUACUUUUGGGGUAGAGUCAAGGGCAGCGACCAACUGGAUGUGAAUGGUGAGGGAAAGGAAAGAAGUCAAGAUUUACCGGACUCUUUUGGCUUGAGAUAUGAGGGAUGGUAGGAAGACUGGAUGAAUCACAGGAGUGUAAUGCGAGAGGGUGAGAAUGGCUGAACAAGCCUAGCACAAGGGUAGAGUGAGGGGCAGAGGCUGAGAACCUAGGAGAACCCGAACUCUUUUUGUCUUUUCUUUUUCUUUUCUUCUUAUAUACAGUACUACAUUAGUUUCAAGCAUGUCACAUAAUGAUUCAACAAUUCUAUACACUACUCAAUGCUCGGAAGAUCUUUUUAAAAGUUUAUUUGCCAUCUGCUUUUUUAACAACUGCACUUGAAUUCACUCUUUUUUAAAAAUUCAUAAAAGUGAUAUCCACUCACGGAAAUAAAGUGAAACAGUACAGGAAGUCCAAGUUGCCCAUUUGAAUUCCCCAGGUGACACUCUGAGGCAACCAUUCUAUAGAUUGAGAUAGAGUACACGUGUGUGGAUAUGUGGGUGUAUAACAUGAACGUAUCUAAAGGGAGUCAUGAUCAUACCAGAUACAUACGGUUACAACCAGCCCCUUCCAAUUAAUUUACUUUGGACCUCUUUCUAAAUUCUCCUGUUGAGGAGUAUUUGGCUUGCUGCCUCAGUUUUUUGCUAACACAUGUUGGAAUGAACACCCUCAUACAUUUUUUCUUUUAAAUUCUCUUCCCAAUCUCCCCUCUCCCAGUCCACCCUCGUACAUAUUUUUUAAGUUUAUUUCUUUUGAGAGAAACAGAGACAGAGACAGAGACAGCGUGAACGGGGCAGGGGCAGAGAGGGAGAGAGAACCCCAAGCACUGUCAGUGCAGAGCCUCAGGCGGGACUCAAACUCACCAGCCAUGAGACCAUGAUCUGAGCAGAAACCAAGAGUCAGGCGCUUACCCCGCUGAGCCUAACUUAAGGAUGCUUAACCUACCCUCAUACAUUUUUCAUGACUUGGCUGAGACUACCUAGAGGAUACUUUCCUAGAAGUGGAAUUGCUGGAUGGAGGGGCAAAUGAGUCGAAAAUUUUCAUAGCCGUGGCUUAACCGCUCCUCCGAUCAGCUGUAUUCAUAAUUUAUGUAUCUGCCAUUAAUGUAAGAGAGAGAGCCUAUCUCCUCCAUCUUUAUCUAGAUUAUCUCUAAGUUCUGAAUCUUUGUUAAUAAAUCUGUGAAUAAAAUAGUUGGGGCUCCUGGUUAGCUCAGUUGGUUAAGCAUCUGACUCUGGAUUUCGGCUCGGGUCACGAUCUCGUGGUUUGUGGGUUUGAGCCCUGCGCUGGGCUUUGGGCUAGCAGUGUGGAGCCUGCCUGUGAUUCUCUCUCUCCCUCUCUCCCUGCCCCUCCCCUGCUCGUGCUCUCUCUCUCUCUCUCUUAAAAUAAAAAUGUAAGGGGCGCCUGGGUGGCGCAGUCGGUUAAGCGUCCGACUUCAGCCAGGUCACGAUCUCGCGCUCCGCGAGUUCGAGCCCCGCGUCAGGCUCUGGGCUGAUGGCUCAGAGCCUGGAGCCUGCUUCCGAUUCUGUGUUUCCCUCUCUCUCUGCCCCUCCCCCGUUCAUGCUCUGUCUCUCUCUGUCCCAAAAAUAAAAAUAAAACAUUGAAAAAAAAAAUUAAAAAAAAAAAAUGUAAAAGCCUGUUAAUAAAAUAGUUAAUCAUUCUUUAUUUAUUUUUAAUUUUUUAAGUUUAUGUAUUUAUUUUUGAAUAAAUAAUUCAGGAGGAUACCAGUAACAAAAAGACAGCCAAUAACAAGUGUUGACAAGGAUAUAGGUAUCGGAUCCAUCAAACAUUGCUGGUGUAAAAUGGUCAGCUACUCAAAAAACAAUCUAGCAGUUCCUCAAAGUUUAAUUUUUCUUUCUUUCUUUCUCUUUCUUUCUUUCUUUCUUUCUUUCUUUCUUUCUUUCUUUCUUUCUUUCUCUUUCCUUCUUUCUUUUCUUUUCUUUUUCAAAAAAUAUUUAUUUAUUUUUGAAAGCGCGAGAGAGACAGAGUGUGAGUGGGGGAGGGGCAGAGAGAGGGGGAGACACAGAAUCAGAAGCCGGCUCCGAGCUGUCAGCACAGAGCCUGACAUGGGGCUCAAACUCACAAACCACGAGAUCGUGACCUGAGCUGAAGUCAAGUCGCUCAACUGACUGAGCUGCCCAUGUGCCCCAGUUCCUCAAAAUACAAACAUAGAGUCACCACAUGACCCAGCAAUUCCACUCCUUGGUAUAUAUCCAAGAGAAAUAAAAACAUGUCUAUACAGGGUGCACCUUGGUGGCUCAGUCAGUUAAGCGUCUGAAACUGAUUUCAGCUUGGCUCAUGAUCUUACGGUUCAGGGGUUCAGAAGGUGGAAAAACACCCAAUGUCCAUCAGCUGAUGAAUGGAUAAACGACAUACGGUAUAUCCACAAAAUGGAGUAUUAUUUGGCAAUAUAAAGGAAUGAAGUACUAAUAAAAGCCACGUACUGACCAACCCACAGAGAAUACUAUAUCCAAUAGUGAAAGAUUGAAAGCUUUCCCUCCAAGGUCAUGAAUGAAGCAAGGAUGCCCACUUUCACCACUUCUAUUAAGUAAAAAAAAGAAAUAAAAGUCACCUAAAUUGGAAAGGAAGAAGUAAGAUUAUCUCUGUUUGCAGAGGAUAUGAUCUUAUAUGUAGAAAACUCUAAUGAUACCACAAAACACUUGUUAAAAUAAGUGAAUUCAUCAAAGUAAUAGGAUAAAGUCAACACACAAAAAUCAGUUGAGUUUCUAUACACAAACCAUGAACAAUCUGAAAAGGAAAUUACAAAACGAUUCUAUUUACAAUAGCAUCACAAAGAAAAAAGGACUUACAAACUAACUUAAUCAAGGAGGUAAAAGACUUGUACAAUGAAAACUACAAAACACUGCUAAAAGAAAUUAAAGACCUAAAUAAAAGGAAACAUAUCUCGUGUUCAUGGGUUAGAAGACUUAAUACUGUUAAAAUGUCAAUACUACCAAAGUGAUCUACAGAUUCAGUGCAAUUUCUAUCAACAUCCCAAUAACAUUUUUUUGCAAAAACAGAAAAGCUCAUCUUAAAAUUCAUACGGAAUCUGAGGGGAUCCUGAGUAGUCAAAAUAAUCCUGAGAAAGAACAAAACCGGAGAACUCCAAAUUUUCUGCUUUCAAAGUUUACCACAGAUGUACAGUAAUUAAUCAAAACAGUGUGGUACUGGCAUAAAGACAGACAUACAGACUAAUGGAAUAGAACUGAGUCUAGUAAUAAACCGCUGCAUAUCUGGUCACAUGCCUUUUUUUUUAAAAAAGAUUUUAUUUUUAAGUAAUGUGCACACCCAACACGGGGCUCAAACUCACAACUCUGAGAUCAAGAGUCACAUGUUCCCCUGACUGAGCCAGCCAGGAGCCCCUGGUCACAUGAGUUUUGACCACGGUGCCAAGACCAUUUAAUGGGGGAAAAGACAGUCUUUUCAACAAGUGAUGCUCGGACAACCAGGUAUCCACAUGCAAUAGAAUGCAGUUGACCCUCACUUCAUACCAUAUAUGAAAAUAUACUAUUACCUCCCCCCCCAAAGCUAGUCUUCGAUGAUUUCUCUGAAUUGUCUCAAAUAUUUUCCAUAAGGAUAAUGGUCUUUAUUUGGCAUAUUAGGUAAAUUAAGAUGUAUAAAUAAAUAACAUUACUUGUAUACAUAUAAAUAACCGUAUUUAUCUACAUACAUAUAAGUAGUCAAUAAUGUCAGGUCCCUUUUUAAAAAAAUGUUUUAUUUGAGUAUAGUUGACACAACACGUUAAUUAAUCCUCACUAUAAAUUUUGAAGGUCACAUUAAAAUUCCUUUUUCUUUUUUUUAAAAAUUUUUUAAUGUUUAUUUUUGAGAGAAAGAAAGAAAAAGAGUGCGAGAGGGGGAGGGGCAGAGAAAGAGAGGGAGACACAGAAUCCAAAGCAGGCUCCAGGCUCCAAGCUGUCAGCACAGAGCCUAACAUGGGGCUUGAACUCAAGAACUACAAGAUCAUGAACUGAGCCGAAGUUGGGACGCUUAAUUGACUGAGCCACCCAAGCACCCCUCCUUUUUAUUUUUCUUUCAUGUUUUUAUUUAUUUUUAAGAGAGAGCGAGCGAGCAUGAGUGGGGGAGAGGCAGGGAGAGGGAAGGCAGAGGAUCUGAAGCACUCACAGCAGACAGCCCUAUGUGGGGCUUGAACUCAGGAACUCGCGAUCAUGACCUGAGCCAAAGUCGAACUCUCAACUAAGUGAGCCACCCAGGUGUCCCAAUAUUCCCUUUUAGAUAAGGAUAUUGAGACUCAGAGAAGUCAAUUAGCUUGCACUCAGUGGAAUGUUGAUAGCAAAAGGGCAGAAAUGUGGCUUGUACUCAGUUUUUUCUCCCUCCAAAGUACAUGGUUUCUUACCACCAUUCCAUGUGGCAGUUAAAGACAUGGAUAAAUCAAAGGAAAUUCUGUCCUUUUGGCCAGAACAAAGGGCUGGCUACUCAGUUUGAGGCUGCGAACAAAGUUCAGAAUGCUGGCUUACUCCAGGAGUAGGAUUUUAUACAUAUUAUAAGUAAUCAGUUCAAAAUGACUACUGGGAGAGCCAAAGUACAAAUUUAACUACAGUUCCACCCAAUGAGCACCGCAGUUGGGCACGGGACCAACAGAUCAUAUUUUCUUGCCCCCCAAAUAUCUCCCUCACAAAUCUAAAUAUAUAUAUAGUAAAUUAUCCCUCUCAUUAAUAUCUACACUAUAGAGACAUAUUUGCCCCCAAAUAUCUCCCUCACAAAUGUAUCUAUAUCUAAUCUAUCUCUAUCUCUAUACGUAGAUAUGUAUAUUAUAAAUCAUCUGUCUGAUUAAUAUCUAGAAUGUAGAGACAACUUUUAUUAUUUUUUUUAUUUAUUUAUUUUUUCAACGUUUAUUUAUUUUUGGGACAGAGAGAGACAGAGCAUGAACAGGGGAGGGGCAGAGAGAGGGAGACACAGAAUCGGAAGCAGGCUCCAGGCUCUGAGCCAUCAGCCCAGAGCCCGACGCGGGGCUCGAACUCACGGACCGCGAGAUCGUGACCUGGCUGAAGUCGGACGCUUAACCGACUGCGCCACCCAGGCGCCCCUAGAGACAACUUUUAAAACUCAACCAUAACAACAAUAAUAACAACAGGGGCACCUGGGUGGCUCAGUCGGUUGGGAGUCUGACUUCAGCUCAGGUCAUGAUCAUGCAGUUCGUGAGUUCGAGCUCUGUGCUGACAGCUCAGAGCCUGGAGCCUGCUUCAAAUUCUGUGUCUCCCUCUCUCUCUGCCUCUCUCCCUCUCGCACUCUGUCCAUCUCCCUCUCUCUCUCAAAAAUAAAUAAACAUUAAAAACAACAACAACAACAAAGCCUGAUUAAGAAACAAGCAAAGGCCUUAAACGGAAGCCUUCAUUUUUUCCAAAGAAGACCUACAAAUAGCCAAUAAGCCCAUGUAAAGAUGCUCAACAUCACGAAUCAUUAGGGAAAUGUAAAUCGAAACUAUAAUGAGAUACCAUUUCACAUCCCUUUAGCUGGCUUCUAUCAAAAAAAAAAAGAGGAGGUGAAGAAAUUGGAACCUUCGGGCACUGCUGGUGGGCAUGUAAAAUGGUGCAGCCACUGGGGAAACUAGUAUGGUGGUUCCUUAAAAAAUUAAAAAUGGAAUUGCCAUUAAAAAAAAACAAAAAACAAUGAUCCAGCAAUUCAACUUCUGGGUAUAUGCCUCCCGGAAAUGGAAAGCAAGGUCUUUUUUUUUUUUUUUUUUAAUAGGAACUAUUUUAUUUAUUGAUUGAUUUUUUGAGAGCAGGGGAGAGGGGCAGAGAGAGAGAGAGAAUCUUGAGCAGACUCCACAACCAGGGUGGAGCCUGAUGCGGGGCUCAAUCCCACGACCCUGGGAUCAUGACCUGAGCCAAAACCAAGAGUUGGACGCUUAACUGACUGAGCCCCGCAGGGGCCCUGGACAGUAGGGUCUUGAAUAGAUAUCUAUACACCCACAUUCACAGCAGAACGAUUCACAAUGGCUAAAAUGUGGAAGCAACAAGCAUCCGUGGAUGGGUGAAUCAAUCAGCAAACGGUGACAUAUAAAUACAGUGAAAUAUUAUUCAGCCUUAAAAAGGAAGGAAAUUUUGCACUCUGCUACAGCAUGGAUGAAUCUUGAGGGCAUGAUGCUAAGUGAGAUGAGCCAGUCCACUUAUCGCAUAAUUCCAUUUACAUGAGGUACUGAAAGUAAUCAAAAUCCAUACAGACAGAAAGGAGAAUGGUGGUUGCCGGGGGCAGGAGACAAUGGGGAAAGGGGAGUUUCAGUUUCACGAGAAGAAAAGUUAUGGGAUGGAUGGAUGGUUGCAUUUAACACCAGUGAAUUGUACACUUAAAAAUGGGUUACUCUGGAAAAAAAUAAGGUUAAGUUGAUAAACUUACGUUAUGUGAAUUUUACCUCAAUAAAAAAAUUCAUCUGUUUAAAAAAAAAAAAAAAGAAAGAAAACAAUGGAGCUCCUGGGUGGCUCAGUCGGUUAAGCAUCCAACUUUGGCUCAGGUCACCAUCUUGUGGUUCCUGAGUUCGAGCCCUGUAUUGGGCUUGUUGCCAGCGUGGAGCCUGCUUCAGAUCCUCUGUCCCUCUCUCUCUGCCCCUCCCCCGCUCACUUGUGUACGCGUGCGUGCUCUCUCAAAAAUAAGCAUAAAAAAAAAAGAAAAAGAAUACAAUAAAGUACUGAUGCAACAUUACAGCAGAGAGAAAGUUUGAAAGCACUAUGUUAAAUCAAAGAAUCCAGAGGCGUCUGGGUGGCUCAGUUGGUUGAGCGUCCGAUUUCGACUCAGAUCACGAUCUCAUGGUUUGUGAGUUCAAGCCCUGCAGCGGUCUCAGUGCUGACAGCUCGGAGCCUGGAGCCUGCUUUGGAUUCUGUGUCUCCUUCUCUCUCUGCCCCUCCCCUGCUUGCACUCUGUCUCUCUCUCAAAAGUAAAUAAACAUUAAAUAAAUAAAUCAAAGAAACCAGUCAUAAAAGGCCAUAUAAUUGUAUGAUUCCAUACAAAUACCUAGAGACAGAAAGUAGAUCAAUGGUGGUGGGUGUUGGAGCUGAGGAGUGACUGCUAAUGAGUAUGGAGUUUCUUGAAGGGAUGAUGAAAACGUUCUGGAAUUAUACCCUAGUGAUGGUUGCACAACUCUGCGAAUACACUAAAAGCCAUUGAACCGUAUGCUUUAUUAUUAUUAUUUUUUAAUGUUUAUUUUUGGGAGAGAGAGAGAGACAAAGUGUGAGCGGGGGAGGGGCAGAGAGAGACGGGGACACAGAAUCCGAAGCAGGAUCCAGGCUCUGAGAUGUCAGCACAGAGCCUGAUGAGGGGCCCAAACUCACAAAUCACAAGAUCAUGACCUGAGCUGACGUCGGAUGCUUAACCGACUGAGCCACCCAGGUGCCGUGAACUGUAUGCUUUAAAUGGGUGUGCUGUAUACCAUAAGAAUUCCAUUUUCUUUUUUUAAAAGUUUGACAUUUUUGUAGAAUCAACUCUACAGUUUUAGACCAACAAGCUACCAGAAUACUCUGAGACAGAGUAUUCAGAAUAAAAUGACCACUGCGGCCGUUACCUGCAAAUGAGAGCUGCUUUAGGCGGGCAUUUGAUCGAGCUUCCUGGACUUUAUCUGUCAGUGACUUCCAGGCAUCUGUGCAGAAAUGAA
RNAcentral lists this long non-coding RNA (12792 nucleotides) under Lynx pardinus (Iberian lynx). The stretch from base 1813 to 1897 matches the Rfam family "tRNA". The record is from RNAcentral. Lineage: Eukaryota; Metazoa; Chordata; Mammalia; Carnivora; Felidae.